This 351-nucleotide long non-coding RNA is filed under the name Homo sapiens (human). RNAcentral describes it as "non-protein coding lnc-ATAD1-1:1". The record is from RNAcentral. Lineage: Eukaryota; Metazoa; Chordata; Mammalia; Primates; Hominidae.
CAAGAAUGCAGGCAACCUCUUGAUUCCACUCAUUCAAAGUUCUCUGUGGGGACUAGGUUCAGAAGAUGUCAUCUCCCCCAUAGACUAGCUUCCCAGAGAAUGUCACCUGCAAACUAGAAUGAUGCUAGUCUCAGCUUAACUGUGCAAAGAGAAAACCAGAACGCGCUCCCCAGGAACAAGGUUCAUUCACAGUUGUCAGAAGACUACUGAUCAGUAAGACUCAGCCAGAGGGGUGUAUUAAGAAUGGGAAUGUGAGAACCAAGAGGUCAGCAGGACAGAGAGGCACAGCCUCUUCACAAGUCAGAGAAGAUAAACAUUUCAGACAAGAUGCCAUGGUUGAAAACUGAAGAG